Molecule: ribosomal RNA, 253 nt
Filed under: uncultured bacterium
Lineage: Bacteria
Description: partial 16S ribosomal RNA
Rfam family: Bacterial small subunit ribosomal RNA
Source: RNAcentral
GACGGAGGAUGCAAGUGUUAUCCGGAAUCACUGGGCGUAAAGCGUCUGUAGGUUGUUUAAUAAGUCAACUGUUAAAUCUUGGGGCCCAACCUCAAAAUCGCAGUCGAAACUAUUAGACUUGAGUAUAGUAGAGGUAAAGGGAAUUUCCAGUGGAGCGGUGAAAUGCGUAGAGAUUGGAAAGAACACCAAUGGCGAAGGCACUUUACUGGGCUAUUACUGACACUCAGAGACGAAAGCUAGGGUAGCAAAUGGG